Sinocyclocheilus anshuiensis is the source of this 146-nucleotide long non-coding RNA. RefSeq lists it as uncharacterized. Lineage: Eukaryota; Metazoa; Chordata; Actinopteri; Cypriniformes; Cyprinidae. The record is from RefSeq and is a predicted model, not a curated record. The transcript is spliced from 3 exons.
UCUGAAGCGGGCUGUCGUUGGUCUGGCAGCUCCUGGUUUGAGCAGAACAUCAGUACACUCAUGUUUUUCCUCAGAUCGUAUAAAUCUUUCGCCUUUUACUAAAGAUUUCCGUGGGGAAGAACACAAUGAGUUUAUACUCACUGUGA